This 1550-nucleotide long non-coding RNA is filed under the name Canis lupus familiaris (dog). Its description in RNAcentral is "lncRNA (ENSCAFG00000056015.1)". The record is from RNAcentral. Lineage: Eukaryota; Metazoa; Chordata; Mammalia; Carnivora; Canidae.
GAGUCAUCUCUUCUGAACUGCGAGUGUAUGCAACCGAGGAGACAGACCCUCUGCCAGCACCAGACUCCCAAUGAAUCUGCUUACACUUCUGUGGGAGGCAGCUGAGAAAAGAGCCCAGAAAAGUGGAGACAUCUAGAAAAGUUUAUCAAGGGCACUGCUCUUACUGAGAGGACAAUAAGAAGCAGCAAAACAGAGUAGCUAUGUGUAUAUAGCAGCGCAUUUUCACCCAUCACAUUGGCAGUGAGUUUCUUCCAAGGCCAAGGUCAUUUUCAAUCCUGAGGCCGUCAAAUCAUUUAUUGAAUCUUUAAAAUUCUCAAAAAUUAUAUACAUUUUUAAUAUGUAUCAAUUUUAGUGUUGCAGUUUAACUGCUUCAUUAAUGUUUUUCCCCCUAAAAAUGGACUGUGAGAUCCAAUGUAGGUAAUCAUAUUUAUGAAGGAAUUCAGUUAUUUAUUUUAUUUCACUUUGGAGAUAUUUGUUUUCACUAUGUAAUUCAAAAUAUAUAUAUACAUAUUUUCUCCUUUCCUUGGUUAAUCUUGGAACAAAGAAAAUAAUGCAUAGUAUUUUCCAAAAUGCCACUCAAAAAAGAUUAUAGCCAUUGUCAAUAAUAAGAUAAAGAAUUGAAAAACUCUUGAAUGAGGCCAAGCUCAGAUUAGAUUAGGUGAAAUCCAAUGCCCUUGUAACAGUGUUCCUGGGGUAGCAUUUAUUACCAUGAUGAAUUUGUUCGUUCUGGGUCUGGUUCUCAGUCUCAGAAAUCUGGUUUUGUCAACAGACUUCAAGCAAUGUAUUUCUCACGUCAUUGAUUUUUAAAUCUAGAACUGACGGGAAUGUUACAAUGAUAACUUACUGAAUGUGAUCAGUACAUUCUUUUUACCAGCCUCCAGAAAGUUGAUUGAUGAUCAUGGAGUCAGAGCAAGGAAUCAAGCAAGCAACUAGAAUCAAAUGCUUUAUGCUUUUUAUCAAACAGCAUAGCCAAAUGCACUCUCUGAAAUGAGAGGAUUUUUGCACAGCUAAGAGUUUGAUAGCUGAAGUCACUUUGCACUAUGUAUGGCUAGUAUUUGGCUCCAUAUUUCUUUUUAUUUUAUACCAUUAAAUGGAACAAUGCUUUGCCCUUCCCCUCCACACCAGCUUCCCUUUUCAUGGAAUCAAAACAUUUCUAAUGCUUUUUUUUUUUUUUUCAAGUUUUUACUUAAAUUUCAGUUACCAUACAGUAUAACAUUAGUUUCAGGUGUAGAAUUUAGUUUCUAGCAUUUUCAAUUAUUAUUACAUUAAUUUCUUUAAAACCUGAAUAUAGCUGAUCAUAUUACAGGCAUGGCCUGCUCCCUUAAAGCCAUUCUGAUGCAUUUUGUGCUUUUCUCAGUAUUUAACAGAAAUCACAUUUCUCACAUGUUCAAGUUCACUGUAACCCCCAAGUACCUAUAACAUGUAUCAGUUUCGGAUGUUGCUUUGCAUUACAGUGAAGUUUUAAUUUAAAUAUUCAAAUAAGCAUUUAAAUAUGGCUCAUUUUGGGUGAGGAAGAAUGAACCAGGUUCUAUGAAAGAGACAAAAAUAAA